UACAGAGGUCUCAAGCGUUGUUCGGAUUCAUUGGGCGUAAAGGGUGCGUAGGUGGCGUCGUAAGUCAGGUGUGAAAUUUCGGAGCUUAACUCCGAAACUGCAUUUGAUACUGCGGUGCUUGAGGACUGGAGAGGAGACUGGAAUUUACGGUGUAGCAGUGAAAUGCGUAGAGAUGUGGAGGAACACCAGUGGCGAAGGCGGCUUUCUGGUCUGUAACUGACGCUGAGGCGCGAAAGCGUGGGGAGCAAACAGG
RNAcentral lists this ribosomal RNA (253 nucleotides) under uncultured bacterium. RNAcentral describes it as "partial 16S ribosomal RNA". It matches the Rfam family "Bacterial small subunit ribosomal RNA", at positions 524 to 776 of the family's 1533-position model. The record is from RNAcentral.